This 788-nucleotide ribosomal RNA is filed under the name uncultured Adhaeribacter sp. RNAcentral's name for it is "bacterial SSU rRNA". It matches the Rfam family "Bacterial small subunit ribosomal RNA", at positions 8 to 796 of the family's 1533-position model. Lineage: Bacteria; Pseudomonadati; Bacteroidota; Cytophagia; Cytophagales; Hymenobacteraceae. The record is from RNAcentral.
AGAGUUUGAUCAUGGCUCAGGAUGAACGCUAGCGGCAGGCCUAAUACAUGCAAGUCGAACGGGUUUGAGUAGCAAUACUCAAAUCAGUGGCGCACGGGUGCGUAACGCGUAUGCAACCUACCUUAAACUGGGGGAUAGCCUUCCGAAAGGGAGAUUAAUACCGCAUAAUACUAUUUGAUGGCAUCUGAAGAUAGUUAAAGAUUUAUUGGUUUAAGAUGGGCAUGCGUGCCAUUAGCUAGUUGGUAGUGUAACGGACUACCAAGGCUACGAUGGCUAGGGGUUCUGAGAGGAUGAUCCCCCACACUGGCACUGAGAUACGGGCCAGACUCCUACGGGAGGCAGCAGUAGGGAAUAUUGGGCAAUGGACGAAAGUCUGACCCAGCCAUGCCGCGUGCAGGAAGAAGGCCUUCUGGGUUGUAAACUGCUUUUAUCUGGGAAGAAAACACCUAUGCGUAGGGAACUGACGGUACCAGAUGAAUAAGCACCGGCUAACUCCGUGCCAGCAGCCGCGGUAAUACGGAGGGUGCAAGCGUUGUCCGGAUUUAUUGGGUUUAAAGGGUGCGUAGGCGGCCCGAUAAGUCAGUGGUGAAAGCCUCCAGCUCAACUGGAGAACUGCCAUUGAUACUGUCGGGCUUGAGUACAGACGAGGUUGGCGGAAUUGAUUGUGUAGCGGUGAAAUGCAUAGAUACAAUCAAGAACACCGAUUGCGUAGGCAGCUAACUAGGCUGUAACUGACGCUGAGGCACGAAAGCGUGGGGAGCGAACAGGAUUAGAUACCCUGGUAGUCC